RNAcentral lists this ribosomal RNA (510 nucleotides) under Triticum aestivum (bread wheat). RNAcentral's name for it is "partial small subunit ribosomal RNA". The record is from RNAcentral. Lineage: Eukaryota; Viridiplantae; Streptophyta; Magnoliopsida; Poales; Poaceae.
AUGCAAAUCCUCUCACGCUCGAUUACUCGAAGCGUCAGCAGGGUUGCCUCUGCUCUGCCUCGCUGCUGGUUUCCAGCACUUGCGCGAGGAGAUGCUCCACGAAAUCAACAUCUUGAUCGUCUUUUCCUUGAGAAGAGUACACUGAAUUGGCUGCGCCAGUUCUCCAUACAUGGCGUGAAUGAGACGAAGACUAAUAAUGCAUCAGAGGACAGUGUCCAGACGUUAAAGACUAGUUUACCUGAAGAUAUAUGUUACAUGCCGAUAAUUUUAGGGAGCAGCCACCGUGAUGGCGCUAUAUACAAGAGAGCGACUUAUUGGGAACAUAAUUACUUUUUUGAUAUCACUGACCGUACAGAGACUCGGUUGGAGCCAGCGCAUGCAUACGAUAUACCACGUAACAUGAUGCAGAUCUUUUCAAUGAAGUUAGCUAAAGCUCCUAUCAACAGUGGCUCAAUACAGUUAUAUGGAUAUAUAGCAGCACGUGAUGAAGUUGAUCUAAGACUCAAUUAA